AACGAACGCUGGCGGCGUGCCUAACACAUGCAAGUCGAGCGCGAAAGGAGCAAUCCGAGUAGAGCGGCGCACGGGUGCGUAACACGUGGGUAAUCUGCCUCAAAGUCUGGAAUAACCUUCCGAAAGGUUGGCUAAUGCCGGAUAAGCUCACGGGGUCUUCGGACUCUGGGGGAAAAGGUGGCCUCUGUUUACAAGCUACCACUUUGAGAUGAGCCCGCGGCCCAUCAGCUAGUUGGCGGGGUAACGGCCCACCAAGGCAACGACGGGUAGCUGGUCUGAGAGGACGAUCAGCCACACUGGAACUGAGAAACGGUCCCGACUCCUACGGGGGGCAGCAGUGAGGAAUAUUGGGCAAUGGACGAAAGUCUGACCCAGCAACGCCGCGUGGAGGAUGAAGGUUUUUGGAUUGUAAACUCCUUUUGUGGGGGAAGAGUGAGGACGGUACCCCAAGAAUAAGUCACGGCUAACUACGUG
RNAcentral lists this ribosomal RNA (474 nucleotides) under uncultured bacterium. Its description in RNAcentral is "bacterial SSU rRNA". It matches the Rfam family "Bacterial small subunit ribosomal RNA", at positions 29 to 507 of the family's 1533-position model. The record is from RNAcentral.